Molecule: ribosomal RNA, 404 nt
Filed under: uncultured prokaryote
Also listed under: 1 other name
Description: bacterial SSU rRNA
Rfam family: Bacterial small subunit ribosomal RNA
Source: RNAcentral
UGGGGAAUAUUGCGCAAUGGGGAAACCCUGACGCAGCGACGCCGCGUGAAGGAUGAAGGUUUUCGGAUCGUAAACUUAUGUCUUCAGGGACGAGAAUGGACGGUACCUGAGGAGGAAGCCACGGCUAACUACGUGCCAGCAGCCGCGGUAAUACGUAGGUGGCAAGCGUUGUCCGGAUUUACUGGGUGUAAAGGGCGUGUAGGCGGGUUAGUAAGUUGGAUGUGAAAUACCGUGGCUCAACCACGGGGCUGCAUCCAAAACUAUUAAUCUUGAGUGUCGGAGAGGAAAGCGGAAUUCCUAGUGUAGCGGUGAAAUGCGUAGAUAUUAGGAGGAACACCGGUGGCGAAGGCGGCUUUCUGGACGAUAACUGACGCUGAGGCGCGAAAGCCAGGGGAGCGAACGGG